CCCUUUAUAUAAAUUUUGGCCGGCGGCACUUUGUUGUUGUUCUGAAUUGAUACCCUCACAUUAUCCACUCGUAGUUAUUGUUGAUCUUUUUUGUGUUUCUGCCUUAAAUAUUUCUAUAAUAUAUGAUAAAAUAGUAUAUCUGAACAAAUCUGUUAAAAAGUGGAAUUUUCUGUGCAUUAUUAGUCUGUAAAUGGUUUUGUUCCCAUUAUUCUUUCAUAAAAUAUGACUAAAGCUAACAAUAGCAAGAAUCUUGGUUUACUAUGUACAAUGUUUCAUGUUUCUCAUUUGCCACUGUGCUCUGUCUGAAUUUUGGACCAAGAACAGUCAAAGAAAAAGGUUCAAUGAGGAGAGAGAAAAUUGGGGAAUGACAUUUAUUUUUUUGAAAGAUAUAAAGCCGUUGCAAGCUGCUGGACCAGAAUGUUGACUGCUCAUGGAUUGUGUUGUAUUGCAUGCUUGAAUAUGUCAAUGAGUACUGAUUGCCUAAAACAGAUUAUAAAUUUAUAGAUUAUUCUGAGUACAUGUUUAUUCUUUACAUUACAGAAGAGUGAGUUGUUAUCGUGGCUUCACCUCUCUUGAUUAAAAAGAUGUAGAGAGAGAUGCAAAAUUCUAAAGGCAACAAGACAUGUAGAAAUGGAAGCACUUGACGUUCUUUUUGAAUAGUGGCGGAGGACUAGAUUUUCAUCUGCAGAAGUUGCAGAGAGUAAUGGAAAUUCUGGAUCAAAGUGUUUCAAAUGUUGUGGAGGUAUAAUGGCAUCAGAAGCGAUUUCUCUUCUUCAAGAUUUUUAUGAAUGAGGAAACCCAGAUGCUCCAAAGCCUCACAAGUCUCAUGUUACUCAAGCUUCUCAUUAGAUCUGCAUGCAUUGAUUCUUCCUGUUGAAUCCUCUCAUGGCUUUGCAUGACUAGAAUUUCAUCAAGGGACCCACGAAAGGAAGCGUGAUACUUGUCCGGAUCAAUUUUUGCCCGGAUGUUCAUGUGCUUACUGAGGGUUGCAGCUGUGAUCAGAAGUCCAUUUCAUGCUUUAACUUGAUAAUCAGAUUGUUAAGAUAAUUUACGGCAUAAACUGUGUAGGCAUCACUUUUCUGAUGCUAAUUUUUGUCAUCAACAUAUCCAAUAAUCGAGCUUAUUUUUUGUUCUA
This is a long non-coding RNA of Syzygium oleosum, 1135 nucleotides long. RefSeq lists it as uncharacterized. The record is from RefSeq and is a predicted model, not a curated record. The transcript has 5 exons. NCBI's taxonomy places the organism in Eukaryota, Viridiplantae, Streptophyta, Magnoliopsida, Myrtales, Myrtaceae.